CCUACGGGAGGCAGCAGUGAGGAAUAUUGGUCAAUGGCCGGAAGGCUGAACCAGCCAAGCCGCGUGAAGGACGAAGGUGCCAAGCAUUGUAAACUUCUUUUGUCAAGGGACACAAUCAGGCUCGAGAGCCUGACCGAGGGUACUUGAAGAAAAAGCAUCGGCUAACUCCGUGCCAGCAGCCGCGGUAAUCCGUAGGAGGCAAGCGUUGUCCGGAUUUACUGGGUGUAAAGGGGGGGUAGGCGGGCUGACAAGUAAGAUGGGAAAUUCCGGGGCUCAACGCCGGACCUGCAUUUGAAACUGUUGGUCUAGAGUGUAGGAGAGGCAGGCGGAAUGCCUGGUGUAGCGGUGAAAUGCGUAGAUAUUAGGAGGAACACCAGUGGCGAAGGCAGCCUGCUGGACGACAACUGACGGUGAGGCGCGAAAGCGUGGGGAGCAAACAGGAUUAGAGACCCAUGUAGUC
Molecule: ribosomal RNA, 460 nt
Filed under: uncultured bacterium
Lineage: Bacteria
Description: partial 16S ribosomal RNA
Rfam family: Bacterial small subunit ribosomal RNA
Source: RNAcentral